RNAcentral lists this transfer RNA (74 nucleotides) under Prosthecobacter fusiformis. RNAcentral describes it as "tRNA-Gln". It matches the Rfam family "tRNA". From Rfam's summary of the family: Transfer RNA (tRNA) molecules are approximately 80 nucleotides in length. RNAcentral also lists the same sequence under 7 other names. The record is from RNAcentral. Lineage: Bacteria; Pseudomonadati; Verrucomicrobiota; Verrucomicrobiia; Verrucomicrobiales; Verrucomicrobiaceae.
UACCCCUUGGUGUAAUGGUAACAUAACAGAUUCUGACUCUGUUGUUCAAGGUUCGAGUCCUUGAGGGGUAGCCA